UAGGUGCUGUCAGUAUAGCUGAGGGAGAGAUUGCUGAUCCCCUGUGAGUUUGCAGACUGGGAUCUCCAGUGCCGCUGUGGAAAGAGCUGUGCUGUAGACAUUGCUGCAGUGGCAGGAAGCCCUAAGUAGCGGUGAGGUGGGUGUCUUCACUGAUACUCACCAAUGCUAUCAGCAGCGCCAGUGAGACCCAUGAGGCAACAUGUGCAGAGGUUCCUGAAGCUAACAGGGGCAGAGAAGGUCCGGCGCCGGUGGAAGAGACAUCUCCUUAGCAACCAGAGAAGCUGAGCUGGUUGGAGGGGGCAGAGCAGUGUCAGGGCAGUGUAAGCGCCACCAUUGAGCAGAGAGGAGACCUAAGCCCUGCUAAUCAUCCUGUCAGGGGCCAGAGGAGGAGUCAGGGGAUCAUCUUGCAGCAGCACCACUAGAUCGUAGACGUGUGCCACAAGAGUUCCUCAGAUGGUGAUGGAAUAGAGGGAGAGAAACCCAUGAAAGAAACCUUUAUAGGCUGAAUACACACUCCUAUUGUCUGAAAACAAUAGAUGAAAGGAUUAUGCUAAUAAACCAUGGUGCACCUAGGCGCAGCAGAGGAGGCUAGAUGAGUGAGGCUCCAUUUGUACUUGCAGAACUCUAACCCAACAUAUGCCCCCAUCACAGUAAGCACGAAUAAUAAUUCUUCUUUGCAGAAUAACCUGAAUAUAACAUGCAGAACAAGACUUAUAUUACAGAAUUCAACUUGGUGUCAUUUUCCUCAAAAUCUGGAUAUUCAUCAUUAGUUACCAGUGUUUUUUUUUUCCUAUAUGUGUUUGGAAUGAUCAUAAAUUCUAGUAUAAUAACAGUGAUAUAUAUGGAUGCUCAAUUACACAACCCCAUGUAUCUAUUUCUCUGUAAUCUGGCCUUAGUAGAUAUCUGUUAUACAACCACUACUGUCCCUAACCUGCUGUACAUGUUACUAUCUGGAGAUAACACAGUGUCCUUCAUACAGUGCUUCACCCAGAUGUUCUUUUAUACUUUGGCUGCUGGUGUAGAAGAUAUUCUAAUAUUCAUUAUGGCAUAUGACAGAUAUGUUGCUAUAUGUGAUCCUUUGCACUAUAAUAAUAUAUUAAAUAGGAGUCACUGUAUCUUAUUGACUUCUGGCACUUGGAUAGCAGGAAUCUUAAACUCAAUUUUGUUUACAAUUGAAGCCUCACACAUGUCCUUCUGCCAUUCACGUUCCAUACACCAGUUUUUGUGUGAGCCUAAAGCAAUGAUUAACAUCGCCUGUGCUGGCAGUGAGGAGUUUUAUAUUUUUGUCUAUGUGGAAUUUUUGAUAUUUGGAUUUUUCCCAGCAAUGUUCUGUUUCACAUCUUAUAUAAAAAUUAUCAGGGUCAUCUUACAGAUAAAAUCUAAGGACGGCAGAAAGAAAGCCUUCUCCACCUGCUCAUCCCACCUCACCGUUGUCAUUAUGUACAAUAUGGCAGGUUUAUGCGCAUACAUGAUGCCAACAUCAGGAUCCUCUAAUAUCCUGGAACAGGUGUUUACAGCACUGUACUCAGUUGUUACACCCAUGAUCAAUCCUCUCAUCUACAGCCUACGGAACAAAGAAGUGAAAAGUGCUCUGCUGAGAAGACUGGUGAUAAAUGUAAAUGUUGUAAAAAUAUCAAAUUAAACUGUAUUUAAUGC
Molecule: long non-coding RNA, 1656 nt
Organism: Pseudophryne corroboree (corroboree frog)
Lineage: Eukaryota; Metazoa; Chordata; Amphibia; Anura; Myobatrachidae
Exons: 3
Source: RefSeq, a predicted model, not a curated record